CGCACAUUGCGCCCCGUGGUAUUCCGCGGGGCAUGCCUGUUCGAGCGUCAGUACAACACUCAAGCUUUGCUUGGUCUUGAGCCCCGCCGGCAACGGCAGGCUUUAAAAUCAGUGGCGGCGCCGCCUGGCUCUCAGCGUAGUAAUACACCCCGCUAUGGAGCCCAGGUGGAUGCUUGCCAGCAACCCCCAACUUCUAAGUUUGACCUCGGAUCAGGUAGGGAUACCCGCUGAACUUAA
Molecule: unclassified non-coding RNA, 237 nt
Filed under: Helotiales sp.
Lineage: Eukaryota; Fungi; Ascomycota; Leotiomycetes; Helotiales
Description: partial contains 5.8S ribosomal RNA, internal transcribed spacer 2, and large subunit ribosomal RNA
Source: RNAcentral